CUCGUAGGCGGUUCGUCGCGUCCGGUGUGAAAGUCCAUCGCUUAACGGUGGAUCUGCGCCGGGUACGGGCGGGCUGGAGUGCGGUAGGGGAGACUGGAAUUCCCGGUGUAACGGGUGGAAUGUGUAGAUAUCGGGAAGAACACCAAUGGCGAAGGCAGGUCUCUGGGCCGUUACUGACGCUGAGGAGCGAAAGCGUGGGGAGCGAACA
This 208-nucleotide ribosomal RNA is filed under the name uncultured bacterium. RNAcentral's name for it is "partial 16S ribosomal RNA". It matches the Rfam family "Bacterial small subunit ribosomal RNA", at positions 568 to 774 of the family's 1533-position model. The record is from RNAcentral.